AAUGAACGCUGGCGGCGUGCUUUACACAUGCAGGUCGAGCGAGGCGUGUAGCAAUACACAGUCGAGCGGCGAACGGGUGAGUAACGCGUGGAUACCUGCCCUUGAGUGGGGAAUAACUCGGGGAAACUCGAGCUAAUACCGCAUAAGACCGAGAGGUGAAAGGGGGCCGCAAGGCUUCCGCUGAAGGAGGGGUCCGCGUCCGAUUAGCUAGUUGGUAGGGUAAUGGCCUACCAAGGCGACGAUCGGUAGCCGGCCUGAGAGGGUGAUCGGCCACACUGGAACUGAGACACGGUCCAGACUCCUACGGGAGGCAGCAGUGGGGAAUUUUGCGCAAUGGGCGAAAGCCUGACGCAGCAACGCCGCGUGGAGGAUGAAGGUC
RNAcentral lists this ribosomal RNA (379 nucleotides) under uncultured bacterium. RNAcentral's name for it is "bacterial SSU rRNA". It matches the Rfam family "Bacterial small subunit ribosomal RNA", at positions 29 to 416 of the family's 1533-position model. The record is from RNAcentral.